UGAGUAACAUACUUUUUUUAUUGCAUUCUUUUAUUUGAUCUAUAUAUCUGUUUUAAUAACAGCUCUGUUGUGUACGUGUGUGUGACGUAGGACGUAGGAGGGGAAAAAGUAAAAAGAUGGCGACGAAGUAAAAGACACUUAUCUGAAAGCGGAGCCUCCUGUCUUUACUUUUCCACUGUCUAGGCUGGAUUAAGGGCAGGACAGAACAAUGGCUACGAGGAUUUAAAUUUCAAGGACGUUGUCUAGCUCGAAAAGUAGGUAGUUGCGGUGAGAUGAAGCUGCAGUUCCCAAGUUUGAGUGCUAUAAAGACCCAGCCACGUUAGGACCGCGAUAGACGAGAUGGCUGGCGGCAUUUGAAUUGUUUGCAGACGGCAAAGGGCUGAUACUAGAGGAAAACGCGGCAAACGCAACCAAACAAAGGGGGAGAGCUCUACUGCUACACCAUGCGGGUACGGAUGUACAAGAUAUCUUUUCAACGUUGGAAGACACCGGAGACCCCACGGACUACGACAAAGCCGUGGAGGCGCUGAAUUCAUACUUCGUACCCAAAGUGAACACUGCGUUCGCGAGGCAAGCAUUCUACCACCUGUCGCAAAAUAAAGGUGAGACAAUACUGCAGUUUGCUACUCGACUUAGACAAGCAGCAAAAGACUGUGACUUUGCAGCUGAUAAAGACAACCAAAUUAGAGAUGCAGUGCUGAGUAAAUGCAGCUCUGAAUAUGUGAAGAGGAAGCUGCUGGAAGAAGGCGUGGCAUUAACACUUUCACGUACUCUUGAAAUAGCAACACAAUGUGAAAGAGUUGAGUUACAGUUAUCCGCCAUGCGUCCAUUACAAGACGACAAGGAGAAAGAAACUGUAAACAGAGUAAUGCAGAUGCCUAAACCGCAACAAAGGCAAUGGAAGAAACCAAACACAGAAAAAGAGAAGGUGUGCUUCAGGUGUGGUCGGAGAGAUCAUUUCGCAAAAGAUGCUGCAUGUCCAGCAAAGGGGAAAGCUUGCAGAAAAUGCAAUGGAAAAAAUCACUUUGCAAAGAUGUGUAAAUCAAGAACGACAAAAGAAGCAGUCAAAUAUGUGAAAUCAGCGGAAACUAAAGAAUAUGCAUUCGCUGUGGGAGGCACAGAAGACAAUAAAAUACAUGUUUCUGUGGGGGGAGUCGGCUUGAAAAUGCUGAUAGACUCGGGUGCCUCAAUAAACAUACAGCUGGACAUCGUGCUGGGCAGUAGGUCAGCUAACCAGAUGACUGGGGCGCUGUAUUGGAACGGAACUGGUUUAUGAACCAGAGUUCUUUUGGUGGAAUAGCCCUAUUUGGGUUCAGG
This 1317-nucleotide long non-coding RNA is filed under the name Astyanax mexicanus (Mexican tetra). RNAcentral describes it as "lncRNA (ENSAMXG00005023913.1)". The record is from RNAcentral. Lineage: Eukaryota; Metazoa; Chordata; Actinopteri; Characiformes; Acestrorhamphidae.